This 458-nucleotide ribosomal RNA is filed under the name uncultured bacterium. RNAcentral's name for it is "bacterial SSU rRNA". It matches the Rfam family "Bacterial small subunit ribosomal RNA", at positions 29 to 507 of the family's 1533-position model. The record is from RNAcentral.
AACGAACGCUGGCGGCAUACCUAACACAUGCAAGUCGAACGAAGCCUUCGGGCUUAGUGGCGCACGGGUGCGUAACGCGUGGGAAUCUGCCCUUGGGUUCGGAAUAACAGUUAGAAAUGACUGCUAAUACCGGAUGAUGUCUUCGGACCAAAGAUUUAUCGCCCAAGGAUGAGCCCGCGUAGGAUUAGGUAGUUGGUGGGGUAAUGGCCCACCAAGCCGACGAUCCUUAGCUGGUCUGAGAGGAUGAUCAGCCACACUGGGACUGAGACACGGCCCAGACUCCUACGGGAGGCAGCAGUGGGGAAUAUUGGACAAUGGGCGAAAGCCUGAUCCAGCAAUGCCGCGUGCAGGAUGAAGGCCUUCGGGUUGUAAACUGCUUUUGUCCGGAAAGAAAAGCGCCGGGUUAAUACCCUAGUGUCCUGACGGUACCGGAAGAAUAAGCACCGGCUAACUUCGUG